GGUUAAGCGACUAAGCGUACACGGUGGAUGCCCUGGCAGUCAGAGGCGAUGAAGGACGUGCUAAUCUGCGAAAAGCGUCGGUAAGGUGAUAUGAACCGUUAUAGCCGGCGAUGUCCGAAUGGGGAAACCCAGUGUGAUUCGUCACACUAUCGUUAACUGAAUACAUAGGUUAACGAGGCGAACCGGGGGAACUGAAACAUCUAAGUACCCCGAGGAAAAGAAAUCAACCGAGAUUCCCCCAGUAGCGGCGAGCGAACGGGGAGCAGCCCAGAGUCUGAAUCAGCUUGUGUAUUAGUGGAACGGUCUGGAAAGUCCGACGGUACAGGGUGAUAGUCCCGUACACCAAAAUGCACAGGCUGUGAACUCGAAGAGUAGGGCGGGACACGUGGUAUCCUGUCUGAAUAUGGGGGGACCAUCCUCCAAGGCUAAAUACUCCUGACUGACCGAUAGU
RNAcentral lists this ribosomal RNA (451 nucleotides) under Klebsiella pneumoniae. RNAcentral's name for it is "partial 23S ribosomal RNA". It matches the Rfam family "Bacterial large subunit ribosomal RNA", at positions 1 to 491 of the family's 2925-position model. The record is from RNAcentral. Lineage: Bacteria; Pseudomonadati; Pseudomonadota; Gammaproteobacteria; Enterobacterales; Enterobacteriaceae.